CAGUCGCCGCGGUAAUACGUAGGUGGCAAGCGUUGUCCGGAAUUAUUGGGCGUAAAGGGCACGCAGGCGGUUUCUCAAGUCUGAUGUGAAAGCCCCCGGCUCAACCGGGGAGGGUCAUUGGAAACUGGGAAACUUGAGUGCAGAAGAGGAGAGUGGAAUUCCACGUGUAGCGGUGAAAUGCGUAGAGAUGUGGAGGAACACCAGUGGCGAAGGCGACUCUCUGGUCUGUAACUGACGCUGAGGGGCGAAAGCGUGGGGAGCGAACAGGAUUAGAUACCCCAGUAGUCCCUGUCUCUUAUAC
RNAcentral lists this ribosomal RNA (301 nucleotides) under uncultured bacterium. RNAcentral describes it as "partial 16S ribosomal RNA". It matches the Rfam family "Bacterial small subunit ribosomal RNA", at positions 509 to 807 of the family's 1533-position model. The record is from RNAcentral.